RNAcentral lists this ribosomal RNA (403 nucleotides) under uncultured bacterium. RNAcentral describes it as "bacterial SSU rRNA". It matches the Rfam family "Bacterial small subunit ribosomal RNA", at positions 356 to 773 of the family's 1533-position model. The record is from RNAcentral.
GGGGAAUAUUGGGCAAUGGGCGCAAGCCUGACCCAGCAACGCCGCGUGAGGGAAGAAGGUCUUCGGAUUGUAAACCUCUGUCCUUGGGGACGAAAAAAAUGACGGUACCCAAGGAGGAAGCUCCGGCUAACUACGUGCCAGCAGCCGCGGUAAUACGUAGGGAGCGAGCGUUGUCCGGAAUUACUGGGCGUAAAGGGUGCGUAGGCGGCUAUGCAAGUCAGAUGUGAAAUCCCCGGGCUUAACUCGGGUGGUGCAUUUGAAACUGCGUAGCUUGAGUGCAGGAGAGGAAAGCGGAAUUCCUAGUGUAGCGGUGAAAUGCGUAGAUAUUAGGAGGAACACCAGUGGCGAAGGCGGCUUUCUGGACUGUAACUGACGCUGAGGCACGAAAGCGUGGGGAGCAAAC